GUUCAGGAGUUAUGGUUCUUGAAAGAUUGAAAAAUGGAGUUUCCAGUCGUGUCCGUGCAUUUAUGCAUGAACUGUUCUACCAAAGCUUCCGAAAUUUUAAAAUGGUGUUACUGAUGACAAAAUGGAGGUCAAGUUCAAUAAUGACGAUUUUGACUUUUACCGUUCAGGAGUUAUGGUUCUUGAAAGAUUGAAAAAUGGUUUUUCCCGUCGUGUCCGUGCAUUUUCUCAUGAACCAUUCAACCAAAGCUUUUGAAAUUUUGAUAUGUUGUUACUGAUGACAAAAUAGAGGUCAAGUUCAA
This 299-nucleotide long non-coding RNA is filed under the name Mytilus galloprovincialis (Mediterranean mussel). Lineage: Eukaryota; Metazoa; Mollusca; Bivalvia; Mytilida; Mytilidae. The record is from RNAcentral.